Non-coding RNA from Paramisgurnus dabryanus, 1323 nucleotides. NCBI's taxonomy places the organism in Eukaryota, Metazoa, Chordata, Actinopteri, Cypriniformes, Cobitidae. The record is from RefSeq and is a predicted model, not a curated record.
GGUAACAGUGCUAACGGUGUCUGGUCUCUGUGUUGAGUUUGUAUGUGAUGUGUGCAUGUACUGUAUGUGGGCUUUUCAAGAAAGAAAAUGGACAGACUUCAUUACAGACGAAUCCUCAGUUGGCCGUGAGGGUCACCAGCUCAGACUACAAAAGCUCCACUUGUUUUCCUGACGAAACUCCAAUGGCGAGGAACGCUUGACCAACUGAGGAGAACAGAUAUAAAGGACGGAUAGCGGAAAGAGAUGAGCUGACACCUGACAAAAGCAGAAGAAAAGAAAGACAAAGACUGAUGGAGGAGUGGGAGCACCGCUUCUCAGACUAUGAUGACAUUCAUCGACCAUCACCACAGAAAGCCAAUGAAGAAUUUCUUUAUUGAACCUCGUCUGUCCUUUUAUUUCUCCUCUGACGCCCAUCCAUCAACUACCGGACAGACAUUUAGCAUAAUGUGAUGGCUUUUUUGUUUUUCUGCCUUCGCUUCGUAAGGACAAAAGUGGGAAAUCAAUACAUAUCCAGUUACCAUAACUCGCUUAUGUCCAUUAUAGACAGCGUGAAGAAUCUUAUCAGGGCUUUUGUGAGGUCACAAACUAUCCCUCAAUGAAGCAGUGACUUGUUGACCUUGCAUUUACCACAAUUAUUUCACUUUUUGAAACGAGUACAUUAAUAUUAUCCAGUUCAAUAGUUUAAUGCACAUAAAGGAACCGUUUAAAUGGGACAUAUCAUAAAAAUCGGACUUUUUCCCUGUUUAAGUGCUAUAACUGUGUCUCCAAUGGUUGUAUCAAGCUAGAAAAUGUGAAAAAGAUCAACCCAGUAACUUAUUUUUGGUAAACCAUUCUCUGCAAGCAUGUGAAAACAUAGAUCAUUGAAAUUUGGCUCCCCUUAUGAUGUCAGAAGGGGAUAAUACCGCCCCUUUAUCUGCACUGCCUUUUAGUGCAGAGAGAGAAAAUCAUUGACAUAAUUGAGUUUCAAUUUCAACAAACCACCAUUAUUGCGAUCAGUGUUGGCAUGUCAUCAGCUCAUUUGCAUUUAAGGGGACACACCCAAAAAAGGCACAUUUUUGCUCACACUUAUUAAGUGUCAAUUUUUACAUGCUAUAUUAAUGAUCUGUAUUUUGAGCUAAAACUUCACAAAUGUAAUUUGGGAAUACCAAAGAUUUAUUUUACAUCUUAAAGUCUUGGGAAAUGGCCCCCUUUCAUUUUGGGCAUCUUACAUGUCCCAUAUUGCAGAAAUGUUUAUUUGAAGGGACUUGCAAUGCAUUUAAGGUGUGCAUUUAGCGAUUUGUACGUUUCCUGAAUCGAACCCAUGACCUUGACUUUGAUCCCCCA